This 250-nucleotide ribosomal RNA is filed under the name uncultured prokaryote. RNAcentral describes it as "partial 16S ribosomal RNA". It matches the Rfam family "Bacterial small subunit ribosomal RNA", at positions 524 to 773 of the family's 1533-position model. The record is from RNAcentral.
UACGUAGGGAGCGAGCGUUGUCCGGAAUGACUGGGCGUAAAGGGCGCGUAGGCGGCUGUGUAAGUUUGGAGUGAAAGUCCCGUUUUCAAGAUGGGAAUUGCUUUGAAAACUGCACAGCUUGAGUGAUGGAGAGGAUAGCGGAAUUCCCGGUGUAGCGGUGAAAUGCGUAGAGAUCGGGAGGAACACCAGUGGCGAAGGCGGCUAUCUGGACAUAAACUGACGCUGAGGCGCGAAAGCGUGGGUAGCAAAC